CACUUCAUUAACAUUCGUAUGCGAGCACGGCAAGCACGUACGGAUUGUGAAAACUGAAUCAACUGUGUGAAACAACUCUACGGCAAAAAUUACUGUUAACUUUACAAACGAAUUUAUUCCGUAUAAAAUAACAGCGAUUUUCAUUGGAAAACAUUCCGGCGAACAGUACUUUUUCCAGGAUAAAAUGUAACUUAAGUCCUUCCUCGAAUUUGGAAUUAUACUUCUAUGUAUCUACCUAUACGAAAUUACAAGAAGAUUAGAUGAAUAGAUAAAGCGUGAAGAGCAAUUCUCCUGAAAAUUAUGUCGAAACCAGUCGCCAAAUAAACAAUGUAGUUUCUGCAAUUGCCUCAAAAGAAAAUGUAUUUUAUAAAUUUAUGUAAAAACAUUAUGGUAAUUAUAAUGAACACACAACAAGGAAACCCUGUACGGCUGUAAUAUUUGCAAGCAAAAUUAGGUUGAAGUGGCAACUCGUCAGCUUCCAUUUCGCCCCAAAAUUAUCGGAUCACAUUAAUCUCUGGUGCGAUAACAUUUUAUCUCCGCAGUCAUCGCCGUUUUUAGGGGAACGUCACGGGAUACCACUUUCGGCUCAAGUUUAAUGUGUUUGCGAUCUUAUUCCAGGGUAAUGGAUGAGCAAUCUCCAUCGAACAAGCUAGAAUCUCACUUAUCAAUGAAUACUUUUUCAGUUCGAACAUUUUUUCCAAAUUAUGUUAAAUAUUAAUGCAAUGGUAGAUCUCAAAAGUGAUUUAUAUUUGUUUUGCAAGUCUAUUUAGGUAUUUAAUUAGCUCUAAAGUUGUGACCAAAACAACACAAAGUUGCUAUGCUGAAACGUUAAUUGGUAGACAUGAAAAUAAAGUUAUGUUACUGAGAUAUCUAAACAAUAGGUUAGAUAAGAUACCAAAUAUACUCUAAUUGUGUCGUGAAAUUUGUUAUUUUCACCUUUGUCAGUUCAACAACAAAUUCAAAGUAUACUUUGAGUUUCUUUGUUGUUUUGGUUUUCUAAUAAAUGACUAGAGGCGGAGUUUGAAGAUUGUUCUUGAAAAUUGUUUGUGUUAUAUAUCGCUAUUGUUCAGAAAAAAAUGAGUAUUUGAUGUAUUCAUCAAACAGGUUCAGCAAAGUUUGUAUCGAGGGACUGCGCCAAAAGUUUUGAUGUUCACUUUAUGUGUGUACUUAUUUUGUUUUGUCACAGCGCUUUAUUGAAUUUUAUUAAAAUUUGGAUUUGAAUUUUUAUACAAAUAUAUUUGUAUAAAAAUAUGUUUCUACCUACAUAAAGUACAUAAAUACACAGAUUAAGACUAGUUUAAAACCGAAUGAUUCCACUUCUCUAUCCAAUGUACCUUCGUCCAAUAUUGAUGGUAAUCAACAGUUCCACGAUGAACAUCUGACGAUUUUUAAUUACUAGUUUCAUUUUUAAAAUAUUUCCUUCAUUUUCACUGGUACCAACACCGGAUCCGUGAUGGAGCUACUGAUGAUUAUUUUUAAAUCACGUUUUCCAUUCAAAAAAUCUAUAUUUAGAAUUUACUAUAACUACAAAUUCAUAUUAAUAUUGAUGAUAUCUUGUAUUUCCUUUUUAACCACAAAUUAAUGUUUGUGGUUAUGAAAUCUUUUUACAAGAUAGUGAUACUGAAUUUCUUAUUUCUAAUA
Long non-coding RNA from Plodia interpunctella (Indianmeal moth), 1641 nucleotides. RefSeq lists it as uncharacterized. The transcript has 3 exons. Lineage: Eukaryota; Metazoa; Arthropoda; Insecta; Lepidoptera; Pyralidae. The record is from RefSeq and is a predicted model, not a curated record.